UUUGUAUUUUGAGUAGAGAUGGGGUUUCUCCAUGUUGGUCAGGCUGGUCUCGAACUCCAGAACUCAGAUGAUCCUCCCCCUUGGCCUCCCAAAGUGCUGGGAUUGCAGGUGUCAGCCACCAUGCCCGGCCUCCUCUGUCACUUUUAUAGCCAUCCUCUGCUCAGAGGAAAGAGCUGACACCUCUCUGCCCAGUCUCGAGGCCCCAGUCCACACUGUCUACAACUAUCUACAGCCAUCUUCAUACCUAAUGCCAAAAGAGGCUCCCCACAUUAGUUAACCCUUGGAGUGAUUCACUCUAAAUUUGGCCGUAGCACACUAGAGACAAAGAAACACAAACACAACCCAGAAAUAAGUUUCAGGCCCAUCCCUCCCCUUCCCACCCAAGUCACCACCAUUGCAGGAAACUUCUUCUCCCUUGCCCUACCCCUCUCACCAGUUCCACACACCAGCCCACAGUCCAGGCCCGCUGGAGACUAUCAGCAUCCUGUUUCCUUGGCUCCACCAGCUCCCGGAAUGCUACUACCACCGUCAAACCCCGGUUAUACUUGCCUCCAAUGGCAUUGUACUCCAGGACCUCCUUGAGCCGGGCAAUAGCAUCUCCUAUCUCUGGGUGCCCCAUCUCAUCCUCAGUCAGCACCCUAACGAUCUGGGAGAAGUGCUGAACGAAAUCCUGCUUUUCUUGGGCAUAAACAUCUGAAUUCUG
This 703-nucleotide long non-coding RNA is filed under the name Homo sapiens (human). RNAcentral's name for it is "LNC_000358". Lineage: Eukaryota; Metazoa; Chordata; Mammalia; Primates; Hominidae. The record is from RNAcentral.